RNAcentral lists this ribosomal RNA (928 nucleotides) under uncultured bacterium. RNAcentral's name for it is "bacterial SSU rRNA". It matches the Rfam family "Bacterial small subunit ribosomal RNA", at positions 8 to 926 of the family's 1533-position model. The record is from RNAcentral.
AGAGUUUGAUCCUGGCUCAGGGUGAACGCUGGCGGCGUGUCUUAGUCAUGCAAGUCCAACCCCCACACUCAAAGCGCGGUUUCUAAAAGAAAAUUCGCUUUGAGUGUGGGGAUGGCAACCGGGUGAGUAACACGUUGGUAAUCUAUACCUUUCUCGAGAAUAACCCCGCGAAAGCGGGAGCAAUACUCGAUGAGAGUGAGGGGACGAAAGUCAUUCUCACUUAAAGUUUUAUCGGAAAGGGAAGAGCCUACGUCCGAUUAGCUAGUUGGUAGGGUAACGGCCUACCAAGGCGAUGAUCGGUAGGGGACCCGAGAGGGUGUACCCCCACACUGGCACUGAAAUACGGGCCAGACUCCUACGGGAGGCUGCAGAUAAGAAUAUUGCGCAAUGGUCUAACGACUGACGCAGCGACGCCGCGUGACUGAUGAAGCCCUUCGGGGUGUAAAGGUCUUUUCUCAGGGAAAAAUAAAUGAUGGUACCUGAGGAAUAAGAGGUUGCUAACUCUGUGCCAGCAGCAGCGGUAAUACAGAGACCUCAAGCGUUACCCGGAAUUAUUGGGCGUAAAGCGUCCGCAGGCGGUGGGUUAAGUCAGGCAUUAAAUUCCGAAGCUUAACUUCGGAGCUGUGUUUGAAACUAAUCCACUAGAGACAAGGAGAGGCACACGGAAUUCCCGGUGUAGGGGUUACAUCCGUUAAUAUCGGGGAGAACACCAUUUGCGAAGGCGGUGUGCUAGACUUGUUCUGACGCUCAGGGACGAAAGCGUGGGUAGCGAAUGGAAUUAGAUACUCCAGUAGUCCACGCCCUAAACUUUGAAUACUUGACUUGAGGAGUUCGACCCUCCUUGAGCCUGAAGCUAACGCUUUAAGUAUUCCGCCUGGGAAGUACGGCCGCAAGGCUAAAACUCAAAGGAAUUGACGGGGACCCGCAC